RNAcentral lists this microRNA (22 nucleotides) under Strongylocentrotus purpuratus (purple sea urchin). RNAcentral's name for it is "spu-miR-33". Its record names the gene spu-miR-33. The record is from miRBase by way of RNAcentral. Lineage: Eukaryota; Metazoa; Echinodermata; Echinoidea; Camarodonta; Strongylocentrotidae.
GUGCAUUGUCGUUGCAUUGCAU